This is a long non-coding RNA of Myotis lucifugus (little brown bat), 304 nucleotides long. RefSeq lists it as uncharacterized. The transcript has 3 exons. The record is from RefSeq and is a predicted model, not a curated record. Lineage: Eukaryota; Metazoa; Chordata; Mammalia; Chiroptera; Vespertilionidae.
AGUCGAUGUAUAUAUGGGCAGGGGAGAGGCGGACUCGCUCUGAGAGUUGCAGGAACUUAUUUUACCAGCCAACUUCACACCAAGCUGCUGCCAUCCAGGCCUCAAGUGGAAGGACCAGCCCAGCAGAUGGGCCCGGCACAGCCUACCUGACGGAAUGAGCAGACCCUCUCAAAUCGGGAGCCUGCGAGGACGAGGGCAGGUGAUAGGGCCCUCCAACAGGAAGACACGGGCUCAAGGCUCACAGGAAAAAGCGGAAGGGAGAGGGAGAGAGAGAUAGAAACAUCAAUGAUGAGAGAGAAUCAAU